UUUGUAAAUAUUAUAAAUAAUAAAAGGUAAAAUUUAAUUGUUAUUUUAUAUUAUAUUAAUGAUUGUAAUUGAAGCUAAAAAAUCUAAUUAUAGACUAGGAUUAGAUACCCUAUUAUUUUAGGAAAAAAUAUAAAGCUAGAUUAGUAUUAGUUAAAUACUUAAAAAUUAAAAGAUUUGGCGGUGAUUUAAUCUUUUCAGAGGAAUUUGUUUUUUAAUCGAUAAACCACGAAGAAUCUUACUUGUUUUUGUUAAUAAUCAGUUUGUAUACCAUCAUUAUCAGAUAAUUCUAAAAAGAAAAAUUAUCAAAUUUAAAUGUUUAUUAAAAUUAGAUCAUGGUGCAGCUUAUAAACAAGGUAAAAUGAAUUACAAUAAAUUGUUUUAUGAUGAAUUAAUAAGAUAAUUCUUAUUAUGAAGGAGGAUUUGAUGGUAUUAUAAAUUUAAUAAGUUUAUAAGAUAAGGGCUCUAAAUCAUGUACAUAUCGCCCGUCGCUUUCAUUUAUAAAUGAGAUAAGUC
RNAcentral lists this ribosomal RNA (513 nucleotides) under Orisarma dehaani. RNAcentral describes it as "partial 12S ribosomal RNA". The record is from RNAcentral. Lineage: Eukaryota; Metazoa; Arthropoda; Malacostraca; Decapoda; Sesarmidae.